Molecule: ribosomal RNA, 253 nt
Filed under: uncultured bacterium
Lineage: Bacteria
Description: partial 16S ribosomal RNA
Rfam family: Bacterial small subunit ribosomal RNA
Source: RNAcentral
UACAGAGGGCUCAAGCGUUGUUCGGAUUUAUUGGGCGUAAAGGGUGCGUAGGCGGCGCGGUAAGUCGGGGGUGAAAUUUCGAGGCUUAACUUCGAAACUGCAUUCGAUACUGCCGUGCUUGAGGACUGGAGAGGAGACUGGAAUUUACGGUGUAGCGGUGAAAUGCGUAGAUAUCGUAAGGAAGACCAGUGGCGAAGGCGGGUCUCUGGACAGUUCCUGACGCUGAGGCACGAAGGCCAGGGGAGCAAACGGG